Molecule: non-coding RNA, 444 nt
Organism: Chrysemys picta bellii (western painted turtle)
Lineage: Eukaryota; Metazoa; Chordata; Testudines; Emydidae
Source: RefSeq, a predicted model, not a curated record
CUGCCCACUCCGGGGACCAUCUUGGAAAGGGGGAAUCUCAGGAUAUGUCAAGAGGUGCCCAGGCUCAGACUGCCCUCACCUUUUCCAACAGGCCCGUCUAGCCUCCCUGGAGCAGCAGCUCAGAGCAGAGGAGGUCUUCAUCUCCCACCUGUCCUCCGAAAGGAGCGUCCCUCUCCCAUGAAGCAGGGCAGAGAUUCCUUCCUGACCCAGCUGGUCCCAGCGCCCACCCUGGAGCAUGUGGGUGGAGGGGCCUGGCCAACCUCCUUUUCAGCAGACGAAGGCCACGAGGAGGAGGAGGAGGACGGCGGCUGCUGCGCUAACCCCGGCGAUGAUGGGGCUGGUCUGACCCGGAGGUGCCGGCGAUUCUGAUCCGCCUGGGAUACAGCAGAAGCCUGAGAGCCGGGAGCGGCUGGUCUGUUCUCUCCCCAGCCCCUCCCACCCCAG